CCUUGAGGUUAUGUUACCUGUUUAAGAAAACGAGACCGGCAAAGAGAAAACCACAGUGCUGGAGAUGCCUGAAGAGGCAGCAAGAAGGACAAGCUACUUAGGAGCUGAGACUUCAUCCUAUUGGCAAGAAAAGAACCACAGAUUUACUGGCUCACCUAGAAGAAGAAGGAAAGAAGGAAGAGGCUGAGCUGAACUCUGGAUAUCUGCGGGAAGCCCAGUGAGUCUGGGCUCUGCCUCCCUGACCAGCGUGCAAGGCAGGUGAAACCUCGGACACCCUCUGGG
This is a long non-coding RNA of Chinchilla lanigera (long-tailed chinchilla), 282 nucleotides long. RefSeq lists it as uncharacterized. The record is from RefSeq and is a predicted model, not a curated record. The transcript is spliced from 3 exons. NCBI's taxonomy places the organism in Eukaryota, Metazoa, Chordata, Mammalia, Rodentia, Chinchillidae.